AAACCAUAUGAUGCAUAUGGAUUUA
RNAcentral lists this small RNA (25 nucleotides) under Lupinus albus (white lupine). RNAcentral's name for it is "hypothetical ncRNA". Lineage: Eukaryota; Viridiplantae; Streptophyta; Magnoliopsida; Fabales; Fabaceae. The record is from RNAcentral.